Molecule: ribosomal RNA, 1713 nt
Filed under: Triticum aestivum (bread wheat)
Lineage: Eukaryota; Viridiplantae; Streptophyta; Magnoliopsida; Poales; Poaceae
Description: partial small subunit ribosomal RNA
Source: RNAcentral
GGAGGGAGGCGAGGAAGGAGGGUUUGGGAUUGAGGGUGAGGGGGCUAAGUCUAGCUUAGCUACCGCCGCGGCGUGAGGGAAGGUGGCGGCGGAGGGUCCUAGGUCUAGGGAAGACGGCGGCGGUGAGGCGAGGGCUAGGUCUGGGGGAACGACAGCGGAAGGAGAAACGGUGUGGAGAGGGGAGCGCCGGCGGAGGGAGAGGUGGUGGGUGGAGAGGGGAGCGGCGACCAGACGGUGUAGACCGUUGCAACUCCGGUCGCCCGCGACCUAGGCCGUGGUCGCACCGGGGAGGUAGUCGUUGAGCUUGUCCCACAGCCGCCGCGGUACCGAAGGGGGUUGGGGUGCUACACCCGGACUCGGUGGGCGACCGGAGCCGAUCCGGGGCCUGUUCGUCGGCGCGCCCUACUGCUGGUAGUAGCUGUGGGAGGUCUACUACAGCCUCCGCCGAGGGCCACCUGACCUCGCCUGUCUCACCAGCCUCCAGCAGCGCGAGCCGCUACACCACAGGUCCGUCCGGUGGCAGUGACCCUACCAGACCUCGCCUCUGAACGGACCACACCUUUGCGAGUUCCUCUUGUAACGACGCAUAAAGUUACAGGACGUCCCAAAGGAAAACCGGAUAGUACCUUCGUGCUAGCCACGGCCAGGAUGUGAAGUGUUCAUAUAGUGAUCAAGACGUUUUCCGCACCACCUACGGUCGAAGAGCAACAAGUUCGAUCAACAAAGACGGAUACAUAGCCGCUGUUGUUCUUCCGGACCUUCUCGCUUGUGACGUCCAUACACGUCAGCGACGGUUCGAAAGACUAUAAUAAUCGGAUGGUCUAUUAAAGAUUAUAACGGAAAACCACUAAUAUCCCGUGACUUCUAUUUCGAAUGUCUUUCUUUAUUUCUACCGGUAUAAGAGUGUAUGAGGACCUAAAGUAAAUGUAGUUGAAGAGUUCUGUCCUCAUGAGGAAAAAUCAUCAGAGUCAAAUUUCAUUUAAUUUACUUUCCUCAUGAGGAAAAGUCAACAGAGUCAAAUUUCACUUACUUUCCUCAUGAACGAGGGACAUGAUCAAUGAAGAUGAUGAAUGAAAAUCGACAAAUCAUGAUGAGACAUCUAGACACUAUGAUCAGAUCAGCGAACAUAUUAAAACAAAUAAUCACAUUGGACUUGGUACCUCAUCAUGGGACAAGCGUAUACACACUAAUACACACAAAAUAUCAGAGAUCGAGGUCAUGUACACUUUAUAUACAACACCACAUUUAGUAAAAGUAAGAUAGAAUAUUUGCACAAAGAAGUUAUCGAUAAAGACAAGUUAAGAACAACAGUGACUACAAUCGUAAAUCAAACAGAGUUCAAUUUUUUUAUGACUUUUAUGUCACAUGUUUAGUCGGGUUUAUACACUCGGAGCUAAGACUUUUGAUUUCUCAAGUAUAUAACCAUCUAUCUGACACUAAAUCCUAUACGAUUUGUCUUUCGAAAUAUUCUACCUUGAGAGUUAUAGUACUGAAGUGAAACAGAAAUUAAAUUAUACAAAUCUUGAUGGUACCAAAAAAUUCAUCAACCCCGUAAUUCUUUGUCAUACGACCUACAAACCGGAACGUAGGCAGGAAGGUACUUAAGUACGAACACGUAACGAUCAAUAACGAAAAAAACGUCCAGAAGAAGAAGGAGCUAGACCACGUCGUUGUUGUUAAGUUCCAGUACCAGUACCUCGUCAUCGGUAUAUA